Molecule: ribosomal RNA, 599 nt
Filed under: Rhabdophis tigrinus (Tiger keelback)
Lineage: Eukaryota; Metazoa; Chordata; Lepidosauria; Squamata; Natricidae
Description: partial 12S ribosomal RNA
Source: RNAcentral
GCACGACUAGAACAAUAUUACAAUAAGGGGAACGAAGCCAAACCGGGCUGUAAAAAGCCAUAAGCCCCACUAACACCCACCCCAUACAAUAUAAUUUCAACUCGUGAAAACAGGAACACAAACUAAGAUUAGAUACCUUACUAUGCCUAACCUAACAUGCAAUUAAAACACUAAUUGCUCGCCAAAUAACUACGAGUAAAAACUUAAAAUUUAAAAGACUUGACGGUACUUCACACCGCCCUAGAGGAGCCUGUCUAAUAACCGACACCCCACGAUUAACCCAACCCACCCUAGCCCAACAGUCUAUAUACCGCCAUCGCCAGCUCACCUUGUAAAAGAAACAUAGCGAGCCCAAAAGCAUCCACCACUAACACGAUAGGUCGAGGUGUAACUAAUGGGUGGGAUCAGAUGGGCUACAUUUUCUAAUAUAGAAAAUACGAAUAGACUAUGAAAGUAGAAACUGAAGGAGGAUUUAGCAGUAUGUUGAGGACAAAAUGCUCAACCGAAAUAAACGCAAUGAAGUGCGUACACACCGCCCGUCAUCCCUGCCUAAACAUUAAUAAACUCUAUAAAUCAACAUAACCAACAAACAGGGCAAG